GACGAACGCUGGCGGCGUGCCUAAUACAUGCAAGUCGAACGCAUUUUCUUUCACCGUAGCUUGCUACACCGAAAGAAAAUGAGUGGCGAACGGGUGAGUAACACGUGGGUAACCUGCCCAUCAGCGGGGGAUAACACUUGGAAACAGGUGCUAAUACCGCAUAAUUCCAUUUACCGCAUGGUAGAUGGGUGAAAGGCGCUUUUGCGUCACUGAUGGAUGGACCCGCGGUGCAUUAGCUAGUUGGUGGGGUAACGGCCUACCAAGGCUGCGAUGCAUAGCCGACCUGAGAGGGUGAUCGGCCACACUGGGACUGAGACACGGCCCAGACUCCUACGGGAGGCAGCAGUAGGGAAUCUUCGGCAAUGGACGCAAGUCUGACCGAGCAACGCCGCGGGAGUGAAGAAGGUUUUCGGAUCGUAAAACUCUGUUGUUAGAGAAGAACAAGGAUGAGAGUGGAAAGUUCAUCCCUUGACGGUAGCUAACCAGAAAGCCACGGCUAACUACGUG
This 507-nucleotide ribosomal RNA is filed under the name uncultured bacterium. Its description in RNAcentral is "partial 16S ribosomal RNA". It matches the Rfam family "Bacterial small subunit ribosomal RNA", at positions 28 to 507 of the family's 1533-position model. The record is from RNAcentral.